RNAcentral lists this ribosomal RNA (253 nucleotides) under uncultured bacterium. RNAcentral describes it as "partial 16S ribosomal RNA". It matches the Rfam family "Bacterial small subunit ribosomal RNA", at positions 524 to 776 of the family's 1533-position model. The record is from RNAcentral.
UACGUAGGGUGCAAGCGUUGUCCGGAAUUAUUGGGCGUAAAGCGCGCGUAGGCGGCCCGGUAAGUCCGUUGUAAAAGUCGAAGGCUCAACCUUCGAAAGCCGAUGGAUACUGCCGGGCUAGAGUACGGAAGAGGCGAGUAGAAUUCCUGGUGUAGCGGUGGAAUGCGCAGAUAUCAGGAGGAAUACCCAUAGCGAAGGCAGCUCGCUGGGACGUUACUGACGCUGAGGCGCGAAAGCGUGGGGAGCGAACAGG